This 491-nucleotide ribosomal RNA is filed under the name uncultured bacterium. RNAcentral's name for it is "partial 16S ribosomal RNA". It matches the Rfam family "Bacterial small subunit ribosomal RNA", at positions 29 to 506 of the family's 1533-position model. The record is from RNAcentral.
AGUGAACGCUGGCGGUAGGCCUAACACAUGCAAGUCGAACGGCAGCACAGUAAGAGCUUGCUCUUACGGGUGGCGAGUGGCGGACGGGUGAGGAAUACAUCGGAAUCUACUUUUUCGUGGGGGAUAACGUAGGGAAACUUACGCUAAUACCGCAUACGACCUACGGGUGAAAGCAGGGGAUCUUCGGACCUUGCGCGAUUGAAUGAGCCGAUGUCGGAUUAGCUAGUUGGCGGGGUAAAGGCCCACCAAGGCGACGAUCCGUAGCUGGUCUGAGAGGAUGAUCAGCCACACUGGAACUGAGACACGGUCCAGACUCCUACGGGAGGCAGCAGUGGGGAAUAUUGGACAAUGGGCGCAAGCCUGCUCCAGCCAUACCGCGUGGGUGAAGAAGGCCUUCGGGUUGUAAAGCCCUUUUGUUGGGAAAGAAAAGCAGCAGGUUAAUACCCCGCUGUUCUGACGGUACCAAAAGAAUAAGCACCGGCUAACUUCGU